AUGGUCUGGAAGAUCUGUAUAAGAAGGUUCAUGCUGCCAUCAGAGCUGACCCUACUUUCAAGAAAUCCGAGAAACAGGCACCAAAGGAGCACAAGAGGUACAAUCUUAAGAAACUCACUUAUGAGGAGAGAAAGGCUAAAUUGGUUGCACGGUUGCAGGCUCUCAAUUCUGCUGCUGGUGAUGAUGAUGAUGAGGAUGAUGAGUGAAAGUUCAUCAUUCAUGCUGUAACAGGAGCUGCUGCUGUCUUAGCUUGUAUUUAGUCAUUAUGAGCAGUUAUUUUGUAGAUCACAAAUUUUGGAUACUUUUGGAGUUGAGUUAGCCUUUCAUUUUGUGUCGGGGAUGAUUAAUGUGUUAUAUUUUAUUCUCAUGCACUACAGAUAUGUUGGUUACAAUAUAAUCAGAUUUUGUUUACGCGGUAUUCUAAAUUUUUAUUAUCA
Long non-coding RNA from Vigna radiata var. radiata (mung bean), 437 nucleotides. RefSeq lists it as uncharacterized. The record is from RefSeq and is a predicted model, not a curated record. NCBI's taxonomy places the organism in Eukaryota, Viridiplantae, Streptophyta, Magnoliopsida, Fabales, Fabaceae. The transcript has 2 exons.